CACUGGGACCCCAUGAGGCCCUCUCCACUCAGGCUUAUAAGACCCUGUGCAGCUUCACAGAGGAGGCAGCUGAGACCCAAGGGAUCAGGAUCAAUCAGGUGAUGAUGUUUGGAAAAUGGGAGAAGAAUACUCUGAGCAAAAAGAACAGUAAAUGUCACAGGAAAGUGCACUGAAGAGAGGUGUUGAACAGAAAUGACAGCAAAAGGGAGAUAGGAAGUGAUAAAAAUUGCGCUUGAUGAGGUGAACAAAGAUCAAAACACAAGAAUUGAAGUUUUGAGAUGUAAUUCUGAAGGCAGCGGGGGCUUGCUACAAAGCAUGCUGCGGGAGAACGAAGGCUGGGCUGCGUUAAAGACUGCCCCUCCUGAAGCCGUCACUCAUCAGAAUGGCUCCGAUGGCCACGCCUAUAAAUAGGGCAGUCCCGUAGCAGCAAGGUUAAUGUGGGUUGGUGAUUGUUUUCAUGAUUUAUCUUUCUUUUUAAAAUCUCCUCUAUACCUAGUCAUAGUGUUUGAUAUAUUUAUAGGCUUCCUUUCCUCCCCAGGAGAUCAAACUCACUGCACCAUCCUGUUAACCUUCACUUGGCAUCCCUAAAGGAGAUGGCGAGAUCACAGACCACUGCAGACAACAGAGCCAUCCCGCUUGUCACACUAAGGCUCUCUUCAGCUUGUGUUGCUAGGAGCUCAGAGACAACAUCUUCAUCAUGCCUCCAAGGCCCUGUGGCUGGGCUUCUGAGAGGAGAGGGCUGGAAGAAGUGUGCAUCAAUUCUGCUGACAUGCAUGGACUUGAUUUCAGUCACAGAGGUAAGGGUCUGACUCCAAAACCAAAGGUGACAAGAAGGAGUAAGGAUAUAA
RNAcentral lists this long non-coding RNA (848 nucleotides) under Ailuropoda melanoleuca (giant panda). Its description in RNAcentral is "lncRNA (ENSAMEG00000028538.1)". The record is from RNAcentral. Lineage: Eukaryota; Metazoa; Chordata; Mammalia; Carnivora; Ursidae.